UCCCGCCGGCGGUAUUCACUCCACUUCUCACUAUGGUGCCGCACGGCUUAAAAAAGGAGGAACAAGGUCCGCUGUGACUGGCGGUGCGGCAGUGUGGAGACCUGUCGCAAGGCGUGCCGGCUGAGCCGGGCGUGAGGCCGCUCCAUGCGGAGGCAGGGCGGUCACAGUCAGAUGCAUAUGGCA
This is a non-coding RNA of Firmicutes bacterium CAG:83, 183 nucleotides long. The record is from Rfam. Lineage: Bacteria; Bacillati; Bacillota.